RNAcentral lists this ribosomal RNA (253 nucleotides) under uncultured bacterium. Its description in RNAcentral is "partial 16S ribosomal RNA". It matches the Rfam family "Bacterial small subunit ribosomal RNA", at positions 524 to 776 of the family's 1533-position model. The record is from RNAcentral.
UACGUAGGGGGCAAGCGUUGUCCGGAUUCAUUGGGCGUAAAGAGCGUGUAGGCGGCCAGGUAGGUCGGUUGUGAAAACUGGAGGCUCAACCUUCAGAGGUCGACCGAAACCAUCUGGCUAGAGUCCGGGAGAGGAGAGUGGAAUUCCUGGUGUAGCGGUGAAAUGCGCAGAUAUCAGGAAGAACACCCGUGGCGAAGGCGGCAUCCUGGACCAACACUGACACUGAGGAGCGAAAGCCAGGGGAGCAAACGGG